GGGGAAUCCGGUGCAAACCCGGAGCUAGCCCGUAACUGUGAGUCGCCACGCCCGCACGGGACGGCGACGAGCCAGGAUACCC
RNAcentral lists this non-coding RNA (82 nucleotides) under Spirochaetota bacterium. Lineage: Bacteria; Pseudomonadati; Spirochaetota. The record is from RNAcentral.